Molecule: long non-coding RNA, 453 nt
Filed under: Cyanistes caeruleus (blue tit)
Lineage: Eukaryota; Metazoa; Chordata; Aves; Passeriformes; Paridae
Description: lncRNA (ENSCCEG00000009503.1)
Source: RNAcentral
CUGCAAUUUUGAGUGCCUCUUACAUGGGCUUCAUAAGGAAUAAAGACACUGCAUCUUUUGUACUUUCAACAAAAAUUGUCAGUGAGCAACAAUCUACUGAUAAACCUGUGAACAGAAAUCAUGCUGAAUAAGAAUGAGAAAUGGAGAAAUAAGAUAUCUGUCCUUUGGACAAUAAAUCUGGGUAUUAAAGGGAUGACGCUUUGUUGCAUUGAGGAGUUGGCAAUAGAUUUCUCUCUUUGAUUUCAUCUUAAUGAUGCUGUGUGCUUGGCAAGUAGCUGAAUUUUAAAUGCAGAAAAUUAUUAUUCAAGGGGAAAAAUUUUGACUGGAGGUUAGAAACAGAAGGUUAAGUUCAGGACAAAAUCUUGUUUUCUCUGACAUCUUCCAAGCUGUGUGAGAAAAGUUUCCCCCCUACACUGGGAACUAUAAAUUUUGAUAUUUUUCAAUAUAAAGAAG